This 432-nucleotide ribosomal RNA is filed under the name uncultured bacterium. RNAcentral's name for it is "partial 16S ribosomal RNA". It matches the Rfam family "Bacterial small subunit ribosomal RNA", at positions 29 to 507 of the family's 1533-position model. The record is from RNAcentral.
AACGAACGCUGGCGGCAUGCCUAACACAUGCAAGUCGAACGAGACCUUCGGGUCUAGUGGCGCACGGGUGCGUAACGCGUGGGAACCUGCCCUUAGGUUCGGAAUAACUCCCCGAAAGGGGUGCUAAUACCGGAUAAUGUCUUCGGACCAAAGAUUUAUCGCCUUUGGGUGGGCCCGCGUUGGAUUAGCUAGUUGGUAGGGUAAAAGCCCACCAAGGCGAAGAUCCAUAGCUGGUCUGAGAGGAUGAUCAGCCACACUGGGACUGGGACACGGCCCAAAUCCUCCGGGGGGGGAGGAGGGGGGAAAUUGGGCAACGGGGCGAGAGCUGGACCCCCCAAGGCCGGGGAGUGGUGUAAGGCUUUAGGUUUAAAAGUCUUUUUUCCCGGGGAUGUAAAGACGGUACCCGGUAAAAAAGCCCCGGCUAACUCCGUG